This is an RNA transcript of Eriocheir sinensis (Chinese mitten crab), 1504 nucleotides long. RefSeq lists it as uncharacterized. The transcript is spliced from 2 exons. The record is from RefSeq and is a predicted model, not a curated record. Lineage: Eukaryota; Metazoa; Arthropoda; Malacostraca; Decapoda; Varunidae.
UUAUUAACCCGUCCGCUGCGAUUGGCACGGAUUUUGCCUUCACUGGUAGCCUGGUAACAUACACUCCCAGGUCUUUCUCUGCCUCUGUGGUGGAUAGUGGAGUGUUUCCCAUGUGGUAUUGGUGUGCUGGAUAUCCCUUCACUGGUAGCCUGGUAACAUACACUCCCAGGUCUUUCUCUUCCUCUGUGGUGGAUAGUGGAGUGUUUCCCAUGUGGUAUUGGUGUGCUGGAUAUCCCUUCACUGGUAGCCUGGUAACAUACACUCCCAGGUCUUUCUCUGCCUCUGUGGUGGAUAGUGGAGUGUUUCCCAUGUGGUAUUGGUGUGCUGGAUAUCCCUUCACUGGUAGCCUGGUAACAUACACUCCCAGGUCUUUCUCUGCCUCUGUGGUGGAUAGUGGAGUGUUUCCCAUGUGGUAUUGGUGUGCUGGAUAUCCCUUCACUGGUAGCCUGGUAACAUACACUCCCAGGUCUUUCUCUGCCUCUGUGGUGGAUAGUGGAGUGUUUCCCAUGUGGUAUUGGUGUGCUGGAUAUCCCUUCACUGGUAGCCUGGUAACAUACACUCCCAGGUCUUUCUCUUCCUCUGUGGUGGAUAGUGGAGUGUUUCCCAUGUGGUAUUGGUGUGCUGGAUAUCCCUUCACUGGUAGCCUGGUAACAUACACUCCCAGGUCUUUCUCUGCCUCUGUGGUGGAUAGUGGAGUGUUUCCCAUGUGGUAUUGGUGUGCUGGAUAUCCCCUCCCAAGGUGCAGGACUUUACAUUUUUCUUCAUUGAAUUGUAGCAGCCACUUUUUGCUCCAUUCCUAUAGCUUGGUGAGGUCUGACUGUAGGCAAUCCGCAGCCAAGGGGUUAAAGCAUUGUUUCCCAAGCCCAAGGUCGUGACACAAAUGAGGGUUGUGAGAGGGUUUCUAAUGGUUGCUAGAGGGUUAUGGAAACAGGCCCUAAUAAUUAUCAUACAUGUAUACGAUAAAGGAUGAUUUUUAACCCAGUAGCAGCGGGGACCAUGUUUCUUAAUGGUCCCUCCAAGCGAGAAAAAUGAGAAAAAAUCACCCCUCACACAAACCAUUUCAUAAUAUAUAUCAAAGCAUUUGUGAUCAGAUUAUGUAUCAUCUAUUUUGGGGGUUAUAUCAUGGCACAAAUUUGGCCCGUCGCUGCUGCACGGUAAAGCCACAAAUUUGGCCCGUCGCUGCUACACGGUAAAGCCACAAAUUUGGCCCAUCGCUGCUACACGGUAAAGCCACAAAUUUGGCCCAUCGCUGCUACACGGUAAAGCCACAAAUUUGGCCCGUCGCUGCUACACUGUAAAGCCACAAAUUUGGCCCGUCGCUGCUACACUGUGAAGCCACAAAUUUGGCCCGUCACUGCUACACGGUGAAGCCACAAAUUUGGCCCGUCGCUGCUACUGGGUAAACCAUUCUUCCUUAAUAUAAAAAAAUAAAUAAAACAAAUGAAAUAAAUAAAAAAAUCAACAUAAAAAAAUACCACUCAUGUGAGGCUGAGUGCAUAAGUUA